GCUUAGCCCUAAACCUAAAUAAUUUAAUAACAAAAAUAUUUGCCAGAGAACUACUAGCCAUCGCUUAAAACUCAAAGGACUUGGCGGUACUUUAUAUCCAUCUAGAGGAACCUGUUCUAUAAUCGAUAAACCCCGCUACACCUCACCAUCCCUUGCUAAUUCAGCCUAUAUACCGCCAUCUUCAGCAAACCCUAAAAAGGAACCAAAGUAAGCACAAUAACAAACAUAAAAACGUUAGGUCAAGGUGUAGCCAAUGGGAUGGGAAGAAAUGGGUUACAUUUUCUUACUAAAGAACAUUACGAAACCCUUUAUGAAACUAAAGGAUAAAGGAGGAUUUAGUAGUAAAUUAAGAAUAGAGAGCUUAAUUG
RNAcentral lists this ribosomal RNA (368 nucleotides) under Hybomys univittatus (Peter's striped mouse). RNAcentral's name for it is "partial 12S ribosomal RNA". Lineage: Eukaryota; Metazoa; Chordata; Mammalia; Rodentia; Muridae. The record is from RNAcentral.